Molecule: long non-coding RNA, 5807 nt
Organism: Anas platyrhynchos (mallard)
Lineage: Eukaryota; Metazoa; Chordata; Aves; Anseriformes; Anatidae
Source: RefSeq, a predicted model, not a curated record
GCCUGCUAAGUUAAGCAGGCCCAGGCUUUAUUACGAGGACUUAUCCUCUGAGGCCAAUGCAAUGGGGCCUUUUUUUUUUCUUACAAAUGCAGUGUAGGAGGGGCUCUGGGUCUUCUCCAGAGAUCCCAACAGGUUAUUACAGAUGUUUUGUGUUUUAUUUUUUUAUUUUAUUUUUUUUUGUAGCCUGAACAAGCCCACGUACUGACAGCAGCUGGAGCCCUCCAGGGACAGCUUCUGCAGGCCUCCUGCUCUCAUCCUGGUGGGGCUUGGGCUGUGAGGUGAGGAUGUGGUCUUCCUGUGGGAGCCUCUGAGUCCUGCCUGCCAGGAUGGGAGAGCUCUCACUUGAUCCCCGACUGGAGGAAGAGUCUUCACAAGCUGAAUGUGCAGCUGGAAGAGGUUAAAAAUUAACCCCGCAGUGAUGUGGAUACUUCAUUUUGAGUCCCCGGAAUAUCAAGCCUUUCCUUCUCCACUCAUUUGCUGAUCUUCCUCAGAGGACACUGACAUGCAGAGAGAACUCCUUUGAACAUCUCUGUCAUUCAGGGGCCAGUUACCCUGUGAAGUCCAGGAACACAGGAAGGUUGGCAGGAGCAAUUAGGUUUGAGCCAAGUUUGCUGAAGUCAGUAGAAGGUCUAUGAAGUCUUGUGGAUCCUGAGCUAAUUUGCCCAGUGUCGUUCUGCCUUCUGCAUGAUUCUCUUUCACAUUUUGGGCACAGAUUGGCUUUUAGUACGGUGGGCAAAGGAGUCAACCAUGCAAGAAAUUAGGAGCAAAGACUGUAGCACGUAACUAAAUCUGGAUUCAGCACAAAGAUUACCAACAUAAACCGAGAUCAGUUUGGCAGGAGGAAAACCACCCCUGGACCAGCAGCAGCAGCAUGUUCGCUGACCUGUGGGUUACAAGUGCAGUGUCACAGCAAACCCGGUUAGACGAGCGCUCGCCUGGCUCCCUGACCUCUCCUACUUGGCAGGCUUUUCUUCGCCUUUUUGACUGAGAGACCAACGUGGGAGUGAAUGAUGGAAACUAAACUGCCCCUCCAGCCCUUGAACUGCUCCCAGUACGUCCUGGUGCAGGUGCGCUGGCCAGGCAAGGUGAAGGAGAGGUCUCAUCGCUCCAGCAUGCGGGCUUGAUGUUCCCUGUAUGGUACAAGGAUUACUGCUUUUCUGUUCAGAAGGCUUCUUUGGAAAUUUCCUAGCCGAGUAAGGAAGGCUGCCUUGGUCACGCCAGUUUUGACAGGAGAGCAUCUGGAAAUCCAGGAUAUCCAGCUACAAACGAAAAUUAAAAAGCAAAUGGGAGAGAACAAGGUCUCCUGCCACAAAUCCACCUCCAGGGACCCUGAGAUGUGAGCACACGCAGCCACGCUUGCUUGAAAGCCAGCCUUCAGCCCUGCACAUCCUUUAAUGUCAGCUGGAGCAACACUGGCCUCUGAUUUGUGUGCUUGGCUCACCCGUGCAUGCAAGGCAAUGCAGCCCUUCCUCCUGAGGAGCUCCUCACCUCCAUCCUGGGGCGUCUGAGUGCCCAAAAUGGGCACAGCCUUCACAGACUCAGCAAUGAGACACCAGCUUUGCAUCUUACGGCAGAGGUGUGCCAAGGCUGCUCUAGUGUUCUUCCCUCCUUGGAGCCAGCAAUAGCAUUGGUGAGGCUGGAAAGUGAGGUGGUUUGGGAAACUGAGCUGGCAAAGAAGUCAUGUUAUGAGGAAAAAAAUAAUUUGCUAUGUGCUUGUCUUCUGGAGAGACAGAGCAAUGCCAACAGGAGGUACCUGUGUCCAGGGCUAAGAAAAUGGAACCCUGAUCUUCUCUGCCCUGAUGUGCUCUCUCCCUUGAGGGAGAAUAUCAAAGGGGAGGAUAUAGCCUGCAAAUCUUCUAUCUUAAAUGAAGAGGAGACCUUUGCACAACCCACACCUCUGAAUCAAAGCAGCUCCAUUCCCUUCCUCCCUGUUGUCAGGCCGUUGGGAGGUAGUUGGCACAGCACUUAUCAAAGGAAAUGUGGUCCUUUCCGUGAGCUUGUCUACUCAGUGUUAUUGUGUAAACAGAGAUCAAUAAGGUGACACAAAUCCUAUCCUAUUAGCAGCAUUCAGCAGCAAAUGAAGUACCCUUAAGUUUAGCAUAUUAUCAUUUCAUGCAUUUUACAGUUAAACUCUUAGAUAAGAUUAAUUACUUCCAAGGUGAGUGUUAACAAUUGUCUCCUCAUAAUUGAGUUUGGGACCAGUCCAGCACGGCUUUACAUCACCAAAAGAAAUCACAGACAAUUUCACAAUCGGAUAGAAAAGCUUUAUUUAACAGGCCUCAUGUUUCUUCUCUUAAAUUUUCCUUAAGACAAAAAUAGCUCCCUAGAAAAGAGCAUAUUCAGCACUGAUGGUGAACUUGAUAAAGAACUUAUCUACAGCUGGGGUUUUUAUUUCAUUUCUGUUUCUUCAAAUAUAAAUAUUUGAGGCACCCUGUUGGUCUUCUGAAGCCUUGUUUUCUGUCAGAAAACGGUGUUAAUGUUGGAUGGAGGGCCCAGAUUGCAGUGCCUGUUCCUGACAGCUCUUUUCUGGACACUCAGCUGAUGGAGGCAGUGCAAAGCAAAAGGGAGCAUGCUGCAAGGAACAAGGUUCAGAGCUGGGCGGGAUUUCUCCAAAGGAGGUGCAGCUGCCUGAGAAAGAGCCUAUGACUGCUGCUCAGGCGAAGCACUGACGUUAGCCUGAAGUGAGCAGGCUCCCUGCUCUGCUACCACCCACACACCUCAAGCGUAGUUUGACCAGAACAGCUGCUUGGUUCUGUGGUUGUGCUGCCCUUACGAUGUAAGGAACUGGAAGCAUUACCUUUACAGGCUAAUUUCCCCCACAUGGGACAAUCACUCAUUUUCUUUCUCAAGGCAGUGUGCAGGGAAGUUGAUUACUACUCAUUGUAAUCAACUUCCCUGCAUAAUCCCCUCAUCGCUCACUGCGAUGGGGGAUGGAGCCCAAGCAAUAAAAAGCCCACAGCUACACCCUCUAAAAGCAACAAAGAAAAGCCAAAAUUUCAAGAUGGGUGGUUUUUGAUGGGUGGCGUGAAUUCUGAGUCUUCCUGCUGCCUACAUUUUUCAGUCCUGUGCACUAGAAGCCUAUGUUUUUACUCUUGCUAUUAGCUCAUGAGGGUCUUAGAUAUUGCUCUGACUCUCAAGAAGAUGAGUUUUCUGGAAAACACCUUAUUAUCACAAGAUAUAAGCGUGAUACAAGAUCUAUGGCAGAAGCCUUGUUUGAGUUACUGGAUUGUAAUGCAAAAAACACAGGCGUUAGGUAGGAAGUGUGCAACUCCCUCGCAAUCCUUUCCCAUUUGGUGACGAGCUCUCAUUUGCUCCCUAGUUACAAGAUCACGAAGCAGUUGUCUUCUCGUUUCUGAAAUAUCAGCAAACCCUCCUCCACAAAACUGAAAAUGUUUUGAAUAAUAAAAUGAAGGGUGAGAUUUUUCAGGCUUGGCUGAAAACGACCAGACCCCACUACGACGAAAAAGGAUGGGAUCUCCACCUUGUCAGGGUAACCCUGCUUGGGAGAGCAUAGCUGGGACCUUUCAGCCUGUCAUGUGCCAAGAAGUGACAGCGGCAGAGGACCUCUGCUGUGACUGCUGGCCGUGCAGCUGGAUUUGUUUCAGAGAGCUCCUGAGCUGGUCUUCUGUGGGUGUCUGACUGCGUCUUGUUCAGAUGCAAGCCAGUCACCUGAGUUAACAUCUCUGCUUGAGAAGCAGCUGCAAGAUUGAUCUGUAACAGGACAUAAAAGGCAUUGGCAGCAUUGUUUUACUGCAGAGUUGAUUACACACAGCGUACUCACAUCGCACCGCUUCACGUUCCAGGAGGUGUUUAUCUCCUGGGUGAGGACUGGCACAGUGCUGUACCACGAAGCCUGGUAGAGCUGACUAAGUGGUUUAGUGUAAUCCUCCUAAGAAAGAUUGCUGUCCUGAAGGGAUUCCUGGGAAGGUUCUCUGCUUGUACCAGGCUUUUAGAUGGCUUUCAGUCAGGUUCCUGAGGGGCUUUUUGGAGUUUGUGCAGCUUUUCUGUGAUGCAGUUCCUUUCCAAGAGUUCCUCUUCUCUCUGGGUUGUGGUUGGGUCAGCAAGGUUUGUCACAGGGCUUGAAAAUAAUUGGUGUCACUGUAUGAAAUAAAAGCCAUUGUGUCAUCAGCUGAUUAAGCUAUGUCUCUGGCAAGUAGGCCACUGCACCAUCUAGGUACCUGGAAUAAAGAGCAAGCAGGAGCUCCUCAGAGUCACAGUGUUUGAGUCCUAUAUCCUCUCCUCUUAGUUUGUUACUGGCCACACAGUGAAAUUCUGGGUAAUGUAAGAAAUAUGGUCCCAGUUCACAGAUCUCAAGUGCAGGGAAGACCUUUGCAGUAAAAUUACUAAGUGCAGUUUUCCAGUAGGAAAAGAAAGCAGGCACUCUCUGUGUUAGAGUGAUAUUGCUCAACUAAGGUCAUACAUGAUAACAAAAAUAGAAGGUUGUACACAACAACAAAGUAGAAAUGAUGGUAGCUGCAACACGAGCCUUGAUGGUGGGGGAGAUUUUAGUCCAGAUAUAAAGCAUAUCCUUGGGGCCCUGGCAAGGAUGCAAACUUCUCUCCCACACAACCUCCGUCACUCUUGAAAAGCCAAGUUCUGGAAUUUUAAAAGGCAAAAAUAUUACAGCAACAGCAACAACAAACAUGCAAAUCAGAUGUUAAAUGACUACUAAUGAUUUUAUCAAUGUGUUGUGUAAACAGGAGGAAGAGGACAGAGAAAGAAGCACUCAACAUUCUUUGGGUUUAUUUUUUAAUUAUUCAACAAUUAUCGAUGAGACUAAAGCAAGCUAACAUUGGGGUUUUGCAGGGACGUUUCGAUUUUAUAAUGGAAAAAGCAUUGCGGUGUUUGGAGGAGGUGGGCACGUGGACUCUUGCAGUACAAAAGAAGCCGACAUAAGAAUCAAGUUUCAAGACCCUGUGGGAAGUUAGGGUUUUUGUCUAGACAGCUAAUUACAGCUUUUCUUGCAGGACUCAAACAUUCAGGAGCACCUACAGCAGAUUGCAGCAUGCACUGGUUGGCAUCCCAGAGCAGUACCCAUGGGGUGGUCGCAUGCCCAUCCCAUCCCACUGAUGGUGCUCCAAAACAGGUACCCACCACGUGCUCUGCUAGGGCAAGCAGAGAUGUGGCAACCAUGUCUGGCCAUUUUCUUUCUGUUGUUAAGAGCGAAGCACAUCUCAUUUGCUGAGGAAAACAAAAGCUCGGCUGGGAUCAUUACAGCUUGUGCUGCAUCCAGGCCGCUGUUCGACCCCGUUUCCUUUGGAGAUGAAGCCGGUUCGAGAGGGUCCCCUGGCCCCGAGCCCUGCUCCCCUUCCUGCCCAUCUGCUGCUGUGAGCUGUGGUGGCCUCUGCUGUGAGCCCCGUCACUGGAAGGAUUUUUGGGAGUUUACAGAGGUUGAUUUAAUCCUGGUACACACAGCUUCCCAGAAAAAAAAAAAAAAAAAAAAAAAAAAAAAAAAAAAAAAGCAACCACCUAGCAAGUUAAAACAGAUGGUUAUCUGCUAGAUUAGUGAGCUGAAGGGAGUCUUACAAGCCCCAAAGCCAACACAAAAGAGAAAAUGGGAGCUUCAUCCUGGAGCCGGGGAUGCAGACGGGGAUGAUGAGCAAGACCUGGGGGAGGAAGAGCCUUGCCCGCUAUCGGCUGCGGCAGGCUGUGGGAUUGGCUCCACCAUGACGUGUCGUUUCACUUUCUGUGUGCCAUUGGGGUUGAAAAUAGCCCUGCUUAAAAAAAUAAAAACAGGUUGUGGCUUGGGUUUGGCUGGAUUUUGUGUGCGCAAACCGUCAGCAGCUCCAGAGCCUGACCCCACUGCU